This 560-nucleotide ribosomal RNA is filed under the name uncultured bacterium. Its description in RNAcentral is "bacterial SSU rRNA". It matches the Rfam family "Bacterial small subunit ribosomal RNA", at positions 232 to 807 of the family's 1533-position model. The record is from RNAcentral.
CGCGGCCUAUCAGCUUGUUGGUGGGGUAACGGCCUACCAAGGCUUCGACGGGUAGCUGGUCUGAGAGGGCGACCGGCCACACUGGGACUGAGAUAGGCCCAGACUCCUCGGGAGGCGCAGUGGGGAUCUUGCACAAUGGGCGAAAGCCUGAUGCAGCGACGCCGCGUGGGGGAUGACGGCCUUCGGGUUGUAAACUCCUUUCGCUAGGGACGAAGCUUUUUGUGAUGCACCUAAAGCUCCGGCCCCGGCUAACUACGUGCCGCGGUAAUACGGAAUACAGCGAGGUGCGAGCGUUGUCCCUGAUUAUUGGGGGUAAAGAGCUUGUAGGUGGCUUGUCGCGUCUGACACGAAAACUCAACUCUCAGCCUCGGGUGUGAUACGGGCACGGUCAAGCUAGGGUGAGGCAAGGGAGACCGGAACUCCUGGUGUAGAAUGGAAAUGCGCAGAUAUCAACACCUGUGCCGAUGGCGGCUCUCUGUCUCUGUGCCAUUACUGACGAUGAAAAGCUAAGGCAUGGGUAGCGAACAGGAUUACUGACCCUGCUAGUCCACACUGUUGAC